UACGGAAGGUGCAAGCGUUAAUCGGAAUCACUGGGCGUAAAGCGCGUGUAGGCGGCUAUUUAAGUCUGAUGUGAAAUCCCACGGCUCAACCGUGGAAUUGCACUUGAUACUGCAUUGCUUGAGUUCGGGAGAGGGUAGUGGAAUUCCAGGUGUAGGAGUGAAAUCCGUAGAGAUCUGGAGGAACACCGGUGGCGAAGGCGACUACCUGGACCGAUACUGACACUGAGGAGCGAAAGCGUGGGGAGCAAAC
RNAcentral lists this ribosomal RNA (250 nucleotides) under uncultured bacterium. Its description in RNAcentral is "partial 16S ribosomal RNA". It matches the Rfam family "Bacterial small subunit ribosomal RNA", at positions 524 to 773 of the family's 1533-position model. The record is from RNAcentral. RNAcentral also lists the same sequence under 1 other name.